Pristis pectinata (smalltooth sawfish) is the source of this 332-nucleotide long non-coding RNA. RefSeq lists it as uncharacterized. NCBI's taxonomy places the organism in Eukaryota, Metazoa, Chordata, Chondrichthyes, Rhinopristiformes, Pristidae. The transcript has 3 exons. The record is from RefSeq and is a predicted model, not a curated record.
CGAUCUAACUUCCGCAGUCCACCACUCUCUGGCUCAGACAAGCCCCACCCAGCGGUCACACACUCGUCCUGUCGUCCUGAGGUACAGGAGAGAACGGGAAUAAGGUGCUGAGACUUGAGGCUGGUGGAAUACGUGGCAGACACAGGCCGGUCUAUCACAGAAACCAGCCUCCGCUCCACAGACUCCGUCUACACUUCCUGCUGCCUCAGGGAAGCAGCCGACAUAAUGAAAGACCCCACCCACCCCGGACAUUCUCUCUUCUCCCCCCUCCCAUCGGGCAGAAGAUACAAAGGCUUGAGAACACGUACCACCAGGCUCAAGGGCAGCUUCUA